CAUGCAAGUCGAACGAUGAACCUCCUUCGGGAGGGGAUUAGUGGCGAACGGGUGAGUAACACGUGGGCAAUCUGCCCUGCACUCUGGGACAAGCCCUGGAAACGGGGUCUAAUACCGGAUACUGAUCAUCUUGGGCAUCCUUGGUGAUCGAAAGCUCCGGCGGUGCAGGAUGAGCCCGCGGCCUAUCAUCUUGUUGGUGAGGUAACGGCUCACCAAGGCGACGACGGGUAGCCGGCCUGAGAGGGCGACCGGCCACAGUGGGACUGAGACACAACCCAAACUCCUACGGGAGGCAGCAGUGGGGAAUAUUGCACAGUGGGCGCAAGCCUGAUGCAGCGACGCCGCGUGAGGGAUGACGGCCUUCGGGUUGUAAACCUCUUUCAGCAGGGAAGAAGCGCAWGUGACGGUACCUGCAGAAGAAGCCCCGGCUAACUACGUGCCAGCAGCCGCGGUAAUACGUAGGGCGCGAGCGUUGUCCGGAAUUAUUGGGCGUAAAGAGCUCGUAGGCGGCUUGUCGCGUC
RNAcentral lists this ribosomal RNA (521 nucleotides) under Streptomyces sp. RNAcentral's name for it is "bacterial SSU rRNA". It matches the Rfam family "Bacterial small subunit ribosomal RNA", at positions 54 to 589 of the family's 1533-position model. Lineage: Bacteria; Bacillati; Actinomycetota; Actinomycetes; Kitasatosporales; Streptomycetaceae. The record is from RNAcentral.